UACGUAUGGGGCAAGCGUUAUCCGGAAUUAUUGGGCGUAAAGAGUGCGUAGGUGGUUACCUAAGCGCAAGGUUUAAUCUUGAGGCUCAACCUCAUUCUGCCUUGCGAACUGGGCUACUUGAGUGCUGGAGGGGAAAGCGGAAUUCCCAGUGUAGCGGUGAAAUGCGUAGAUAUUGGGAAGAACACCGGUGGCGAAGGCGGCUUUCUGGACAGUAACUGACACUGAGGCACGAAAGCGUGGGGAGCAAACAGGAUUAGAUACCCUGGUAGUCCCU
RNAcentral lists this ribosomal RNA (274 nucleotides) under uncultured prokaryote. RNAcentral's name for it is "partial 16S ribosomal RNA". It matches the Rfam family "Bacterial small subunit ribosomal RNA", at positions 524 to 798 of the family's 1533-position model. The record is from RNAcentral.